GUCCACGCCGUAAACGAUGAUAACUAGUUGUUCGGGCACUUGGUGCCUGAGUGACGCAGCUAACGCAUUAAGUUAUCCGCCUGGGGAGUACGGUCGCAAGAUUAAAACUCAAAGGAAUUGACGGGGGCCUGCACAAGCGGUGGAGCAUGUGGUUUAAUUCGAAGCAACGCGCAGAACCUUACCAGCCUUUGACAUCCCGCGCUACCUGGAGAGAUUCAGGGGUUCCUUUCGGGGACGCGGUGACAGGUGCUGCAUGGCUGUCGU
Molecule: ribosomal RNA, 264 nt
Filed under: uncultured bacterium
Lineage: Bacteria
Description: partial 16S ribosomal RNA
Rfam family: Bacterial small subunit ribosomal RNA
Source: RNAcentral